Long non-coding RNA from Acanthaster planci (crown-of-thorns starfish), 1489 nucleotides. RefSeq lists it as uncharacterized. The record is from RefSeq and is a predicted model, not a curated record. NCBI's taxonomy places the organism in Eukaryota, Metazoa, Echinodermata, Asteroidea, Valvatida, Acanthasteridae.
UCUAAGUCGUAUUUCCCACGAAGUCUCGGUCUCUGUUCUGUUCUCCCAAAUUCCUUUCUCACCGCGCCACACCUCCCUCUUCUAUUCUUAUUGGCUGUUUGUGCACACGUGGUUUGCUUUAUGUCAUCGCUUGUCCAUAUUAAUUCUUGUCAUUUAUAGUCAUGUUUUCAGCCGAGAGGCAUCGGACGAUCAAUGGCUCUGGUUACUUCCUACAUCACGGGCAUUUCCACCUCGUCAUCGACCCUUAAUCUGCCACUCUUGCUAUUUCUUCUUAUUUUUCAUCCCUUCGUGGCUGUCGCCAGGUUUCAUCAAGCAGCCCCACUGCAUAAAAGCAAACAGCAGAAGAAAGUUGCAGUCAAGAUUUGGAGCCUUGCUCUAGCCUUAAAGUCUGUGAUGCUGAAGCUGAAGGAGGGACCAACUAAUGUUUGAGCCGACUUAGACAUCUUGCGUCACAGGUUCAACCAACUAACGUUUAAGGACUCCAAGGUUGCUGGGGACAUCUUGGGUUCAGUCUUGUAACAACCAGACAUCGGUGACUUGGCCCGACCAACUGAGCAUGCUACCACAGGGAACAAAUGAGGAAAUGUUGAACGUAUCCAACUGCAAUCUCCAAGUGAAAGCUACUAUAUUAAGCUAUUUGAAGUGAAUGGUUCUAAGGAAAACCUACGUCAGGACUCUGCGAUUUCAUAAUCUCAAUGAAGAAAUUGAAAACAGACCUCCAGUAUGAACUCUAAAUGUACAGGCUGAGGUCCUAGCUAUUCCCAAAGCAUACAUUUUCUUAAUUAAAAUUUGAUAUGUUAUACAGGAUAAAAACCAGUAUGUUUUGUUUGAAAGAGUAUUGCACUCAAAGUGUUGCAGCUCCUUGUAAUGAGACCCGGCCCUAAAUCUUCCAUUUCUCAUCAAACUGCUUCGAUCAACAUAUCAUUUUAAGUCUCCAUGAAUUUGUCACUUUUGAAAUUUCACAUAAGACACCGCAUUUCAACAUUUCUCUUAGUGCUUUUAUAGCUUUUGUUGGACGAAAUAGAUUUCCUAAAGCAGCAAGGUCAUUUUUUGUAUUUGUUGAAAUCAUUUUUUUCUGAAACUGAAAUGAAAGAGGUUUUGAGCCCUAUCUAAUUACUUGGAAAGGGGAAGUUUGCCAGCUUUAGUUCAGAAUUAAAUAGUUAGUCUACAAGUUCUUCCUUUGUGAGUUUGCCAAUUACUUUUUAAAUGCAGGAACUGCAAAUCCUUUGAGAAAGUGCUUCACUUGCCAAAAACUGCUCUCAAUUUACAUCCACGAUGAUAAAGCAGGAAUAACUGUGAUUACAAGUCUGAAAUGAUGUCACAACUCUGUGUUUCAGGCAAGUUUUUGAACCCUAAAGAGUUGUGCAGUAACACAUGUUUGAAGAUUCAGACUCUAGGCAGCUAGCACAAUUUAAGAACAUAAUUUUUUACCUUGUCAUGUGACCUCUGAUAGCCAAUAAAACUUCCACUGGUGUUUGUGUGACGUGAA